UAGGGAAUCUUCGGCAAUGGGGGGAACCCUGACCGAGCAACGCCGCGUGCGUGAAGAAGGCUUUCGGAUCGUAAAGCUCUGUUGUUAAGGAAGAACGAGUGUGAGAAUGGAAAGUUCAUACUGUGACGGUACUUAACCAGAAAGGGACGGCUAACUACGUGCCAGCAGCCGCGGUAAUACGUAGGUCCCGAGCGUUGUCCGGAUUUAUUGGGCGUAAAGCGAGCGCAGGCGGUUAGAUAAGUCUGAAGUUAAAGGCAGUGGCUCAACCAUUGUAGGCUUUGGAAACUGUGUAACUUGAGUGCAGAAGGGGAGAGUGGAAUUCCAUGGGUAGCGGUGAAAUGCGUAGAUAUAUGGAGAAACACCGGUGGCGAAAGCGGCUCUCUGGUCUGUAACUGACGCUGAGGCUCGAAAGCGUGGGGAGCGAACAGG
This 429-nucleotide ribosomal RNA is filed under the name Bacteroidota bacterium. Its description in RNAcentral is "Bacteroidetes bacterium partial 16S ribosomal RNA". It matches the Rfam family "Bacterial small subunit ribosomal RNA", at positions 355 to 776 of the family's 1533-position model. Lineage: Bacteria; Pseudomonadati; Bacteroidota. The record is from RNAcentral.